UUGCAUAAAUAUUUCAAUACCAAAUUUAUUCAGACAUCACGAGAUUAAUAAAAGUUAUCUUUGGCCUCUACAAUUACAAGAGGUGCUCAAAGUGGUGGCCACUGGCUUCCAGACAUUUCUGUUGUGUUGUAGACGUCACUUGUUGAUGCUCCAUUCAUGAGGGUAGCGCCAUCUGUUGGGAAAACAUCGUACAACAGGACACAGAGUUAUCGUGAUUUGAUCAAACUUAGAAAGAGGAAUCUAUAUGUAUAGAAGUACUUAUACAAAUGAAAUAUUUAUAAAAGUUUUUCUUUUCCUGAUGUGUGUACAUUAUUUUGGCUGACUCUGAACUUAAUGAGAACAAAACUGUCAUUUAAUUGUUGCUCUGAAAGCUUCUUUAGUGAAAACCAGCUGGUGUUCUGCUUUGAAACAAACUGCUGUUGAGGUCUGUGUUUUUAGGUUUAACCCCACAGUUUCUGAAUGAACUGAUAGUUGUUUUUUUUCCUGAUCAAUGUGGACGUUAUAAUUGAUGGUAACAUUUACUGAUCAUAUAAUCAGCAUGACAAUAUAACAGUAUAACAUUCUGACCACCUGACUAAUACUGUGUUGGUCCCUUUAUGCUGCUAAAACUCCUCUGACCCAGUGGUUCAUCAGAACCUCUGGGGAUGUCCUGUGGAUUCUGUGGAUCCUGUGGGUUGCAGGGUGGGUCCUACCUAGACCAGGCUGAUCCUGGACCAUCCCACAGAUGCUCAAUCAGAUCUGGAUGUGGGGAGUGUGGAACCCAGAUGUUCAGAGGGAGAUGAUGCCACAUCUGGUCCAGCUGAUGGAAGGUCUUGAAGUUCUCUGACUGGCCUCGACUGAAGAUGGUCGUCUCACUGGAUUUAAGAUGCACAAUGAGGGACGUCUGCAGAGACUGAGAAAGAGUCUCACCACAUCCUGACAUGAGGAAAAAGACUUUAUUGAAGACUACAAUGAGAAAAACUAUCAGACAGCAGACGGCUGCAUUCAAGGUGAGCUCUGAACAUUUGAUCUGGAACAGGAAUUCAAUAACGGCAGCAUGAGCUUCAUUUCAGUCUGUAGCUGCUGAAUUCAUGGAUGAAUCAUCUGGCACUAGAGAAGAAGACCAUCAAACAUCCACGUCAGCUGAUGGAGGUCCAAGAGUCUCACCAAACAACCAACCUACAGAGUGAAGACCUCAAAUCUGAUUGGACGGCCUCCUAUUCAGCCACAUGUGUGAACAAAUGCCUCUAAGCUGAUUUGUUUUCUAAAAUAAAUCUAGUUUGAGUCCUAAUCUAUGCCUGUGUGUUUGCUUCUUUACACCGCUGUUAACAGUUUAGGCUGUUAGAUUGUUCCAGAUAAGACAAGUACAAGAUUCUUCAGAGCCGUUCUACCACGAGCCUGACAGGAAGAACUCCAACAGCUACUGAAUGUUCCUGUGGUUCCCUCAAGGCUACAGGAGGAGCCCUACGAGGACGAGCCGGUCCACCUGAUGGUGGCCAGUCGCUGCGGUUCAAAGCCAACACCGACUACGUGGACUUCUACUGGACCACACGGAGGCCUUCAAACCGGACCAACAAGUUCAGCGACUCCCCGACUCGUGGGUCUGAGGACGCCGCCGAGCCUCGGUCCAGCCGGCCUCCUGUCUGUGGGUGUUUGAGUGCUGAGAGGUUUGUGGAUGCAUGUGAACGUGUCUGUGUUGAAACAGCAGCUUUUGACUCAGUAACGCCAGGAAAAACCAAGAGCUCCUUUAUUUGUGACUUCCACUAAAAAAACUGAUGAAAAUAAGUUUGCCAGGGUUCUGACUGAUAACAGAUUAUUAAAUAAUGAAAAUAAUCGUUUAAAUAUUCCUUUAAACAAUCCUUUUAGGUCUACAUUUCCUUUACACUGACUUCUUGGUAUAUGUACAAGUAUUUUGGGUGGAAUAUACCAUUAAGCCCGAUGUUCAAGGGUUCUUCUGGGAAUAUACCAUUAAACCAACCUUUUAGGUAAAUGUUCCAGGAUGUUGGGUAGAAUAUACCAUCAGAUCAACCUUUUAGGUCUACAUUGGAAGAUUUUAGAGUAGAAUAUUACUCCAAACCAUCCUUUAGGUCUACAUUUAAGGUGGAAUACUCCUUUACACCAAGAUUUUUUGGUCUACAUUGAAGGAUUUUAGGUGGAAUAUUCCUUUGAACGAACUUUUUAAGUUUAUGUUCAAGGAUGUUGGGUGGAAUAUACCAUCAGACCAACCUCCAAGGUCUACAGUAGUGAAUUUUAGGUGGAAUAUACCAUUAAACUCACCUUUUAGGUCUACAUUGGAGGAUUUUAGGUGGAAUUUUCUUCCAAACCGUCUUUUAGUCUACAUUUAAGGAUGUUUAGGAUGGUAUAUUCUUCCGAACCAACUUCUCAGGUCUACAUUUCAGGUGGAAUAUUCCUCCAUACUAACUUUUUUGGUCUACAUUGAAGGAUUUUUUCUAAACCACCCUUUCGGGUCUAUAUUUGAGGUUUUAGGUGGAAUAUUCCUUUUAACCAGCCCCUCAGGUCUCUUUGAGGAUUUUGGAUGGAAUACUCGGUUAAACCAACAUUUUAGGUGCAUGUCCAAGGAUUUUUGGUGGAAUGUUCCUUUAAGGUGGAUGUUUGAGGACCUUGUAGGUGGAAUACUUCCUGAAACCAACCUUUUAGGUCAACAUUCAAAGAUUUAAGGUGGAAUAUUCCUUUAAACCAACCUAAAUUUCAUGUUUUGAUCAUUAUCAAGUGAGAAACCUCAAUCCAGACUCCUCAUAAUGACGUUUGAGAUUUAUGCUGCUGUUAUUUGUUUAGUCCAGACUAAAUGACAGAAAUCCACAACUGUAAUUUUAUUUCAGGACUCGGUUAUUAAAUGUCAAAACAAUCCAUGUGACUCUAAAAACUCAACAGCUGUACAAACUCUAAGAUUAAACUCUCCACAAGGAUCCAAAAUAAGUUGGACUUCUACAUGAGAGCUUUAAUUAUUCUUCAUCUACUUCCUGAAAAGUUUGGUCAAUAAAAAAGACAAAAACUAAUAUUUUCAGCUGAACUAAAGACAGACUGUGAUUUUUCUGCUCACAUGUUGUGUUGUUGUAAACUUACUCUUUUAAAUAAAUACCCAUCUAACCCCCUGGAAACCAGCGUUUGUCCUGUUUUUGUGUUGCUCCUCGGCGACCCUAGACAGCCGGGUCAUAAUGUUUUUUGAGCAACACACCAUACUAUGACGUUUUUACAAUGAUGGUUCUACUAUGGAACCAGUUUGACAUGUUCAGGUGUUCUUUGUGUGAAAACUCAGAGAUUUCAGGUAUCAGAAGGUGGUUUUCAACUUUCUUUGUUAACUUUGUGCCUCAACUUUAAACUAAAUUUCCUUCACUAAGCCAGCCCUCUGGCCUUCCAGUAAGCUGUGUUCCUAUUGGCUGUCCAGGUGGCUGCUUGGUGUUAUCAGGAACACCUGAGCAGCUCAGUGUCUUCCUGCUUUAUUUGGCUGCAGUGAAACAUUUCCUCUGCUUCUCUUCACCACAGAACCGGGUUUGGCUCUGUUGGUUUAGUUUGUUCUUUAGGCGUUGGCUUGCAGCUUCCAGCAGUAAAAUCGUCUUUAAUGUGUUUCUUGGUGUGUUUUAGGGCUUUGUACUGGAUAGUUGUCUUGGUAAAUGUGGUUCUUUAGCCACAGUUAGCACAUGGUGCUAAUGUGUGCAGUGAUUAGUGGAUUUGGUGCAGCUGAGUUGUGUCUUUAUCUUGGCUGUAGUGAGUCUUUAGAGGUUUUUGGUCAGACACAUUCUGUAUUCUUGUUUGUGAACCAACGUUGGUUGUCCAGAAGGUAAGAGUUCCUGUCCUGAUUCUCUGUUCUCAGAGGUUCUCUGGUAGGCUGCAGGAGACUUUAGCGUUUGGGUUGUGCUAGUUUGGUUUUUGUACGGUUUCAUUUGGACGACUAUCUUGAGGCCCCUCCAUGUGGUUUAGUGAGGUUUUCUGGAACAGUUCUACAAAGCAACCUGCAGCAGAAGAGACUUUGAGAGUUUUUAGGAAGUUCUGGAGACCAGACUUUAGAGCAGCAGAAACAUUUGUCAGCAGUUUGAGCAGGAGAAGGUGAGCUUCAGAGUAGAAAUGAGACGGAAACCUUCUUGACCCGUGUGGUGAGGUCCUGUACCAAGAGUUUGAGCAGGUUGUGAAGAGUCUGUAGUUCUUUGGUCUGAAAGCACAAGAAGAGUCGACUCAUUAAAGGAGAAAACAGGAGAUAUUGUUGGUUCUUCUGUCGCUCUGCAGUUUCCUUAGACUGAAUAUCAAGUUUAUAUUUUAAAUGAUUUCCCAUGUGAGCCCAAGAAGACUUCAAUAAACUCCCUCCAUCCCCUGGACACAACAUAUUUUAUUACCAUGUUAAAUCUUUUUUUUUUUAAAUGUUUUUGAGUUUUAAUCAUAGUUUUAGCAUAGUUUUUUUCUCUUUGCUUGUUUAGUUUUGUCAUCUGUGUAAAAGGUGCUAAACAAAUAAAGUUGAAUUGAUAAACUGAAUAA
Molecule: long non-coding RNA, 4467 nt
Organism: Amphiprion ocellaris (clown anemonefish)
Lineage: Eukaryota; Metazoa; Chordata; Actinopteri; Pomacentridae
Exons: 3
Source: RefSeq, a predicted model, not a curated record